UAAAUUUUAAAAUUAUGAUACUAAAAUAGUAAAUAAUUAUUUAUUAAAACUUAAAUAAUUUGGCGGUAUUUUAGUUCAUUUAGAGGAAUCUGUUUAAUAAUUGAUAUUCCACGAAUAAAUUUACUUAAUUUUUAAUUUUGUAUAUCGUUGUUAUAAAAAUAUUUUUUAAUAAAGUUAAUAUUUAAAAAUUAUUAUAAAAAUUUAAAUCAGAUCAAGAUGCAGAUUAUAGUUAAGAAUAUAAUGGAUUACAAUAAAAUUAUUUAAAUGGAUGUUAAUUUGUAAGAUUUAAUUGAAAGUGGAUUUAAAUGUAAUUUUAUUUAAUUUAAUAAAAUGAUUAAAAAUUAAAAUAUGU
This 352-nucleotide ribosomal RNA is filed under the name Acrapex yakoba. RNAcentral describes it as "partial 12S ribosomal RNA". Lineage: Eukaryota; Metazoa; Arthropoda; Insecta; Lepidoptera; Noctuidae. The record is from RNAcentral.